This 239-nucleotide ribosomal RNA is filed under the name uncultured bacterium. RNAcentral's name for it is "partial 16S ribosomal RNA". It matches the Rfam family "Bacterial small subunit ribosomal RNA", at positions 15 to 236 of the family's 1533-position model. The record is from RNAcentral.
GAUCCUGGCUCAGGAUGAACGCUGGCGGCGUGCUUAACACAUGCAAGUCGAACGAAGCACUUUAAUUGAUUUCUUCGGAAUGAAGUUUUUGUGACUGAGUGGCGGACGGGUGAGUAACGCGUGGGUAACCUGCCUCAUACAGGGGGAUAACAGUUGGAAACGACUACUAAUACCGCAUAAGCGCACAGGAUUGCAUGAUCCAGUGCGAAAAACUCCGGUGGUAUGAGAUGGACCCGCGU